Chiloscyllium plagiosum (whitespotted bambooshark) is the source of this 316-nucleotide RNA transcript. RefSeq lists it as uncharacterized. Lineage: Eukaryota; Metazoa; Chordata; Chondrichthyes; Orectolobiformes; Hemiscylliidae. The record is from RefSeq and is a predicted model, not a curated record.
GUUAUCCUUGUGGUCAACCAGCGUGUUUUUCUUUUCUCGCAGAGCACUGCGUUGUGUUUGCACAGAGUUUCAAAUGAAGAAAAAAGUUCAUAAACUGAAAGAUCCACAGACACCAGUAACAGUGGGUAGUGUCCCUGUCUCUGGUUUGCUGGAUUUGAGUUCCAGUCCAGGACAUGACAGCUGUGGGAGGUGUGCUUCUACUAUGGCAGGAAUAUAGUCCUAAUGGAUCCAGUCUGUCUUCAUACGUCAGUCCUGCCAUCCCAAGAAUCAAUCUGGGAAACCUUUGUUGCAGUCCCUCCAUCACCAGAACUUCCUU